GAUGAACGCUAGCGGCAGGCCUAAUACAUGCAAGUCGAACGGUAACAGGUGUAGCAAUACAUGCUGACGAGUGGGCAGACGGGUGAGGAACACGUACACAACUUCCCUCUUACCGGGGGCACAACUCAGAGAAAUCUGGGCUAAUUCCCCGUAAUAUCACGAUGUGGCAUCACAUUGAGAUUAAAACUCCGGUGGUAAGCGAUGGGUGUGCGUCUGAUUAGCUAGUUGGUGAGGUAACGGCUCACCAAGGCAACGAUCAGUAACUGGUGUGAGAGCACGACCAGUCACACGGGCACUGAGAUAC
Molecule: ribosomal RNA, 304 nt
Filed under: uncultured bacterium
Lineage: Bacteria
Description: bacterial SSU rRNA
Rfam family: Bacterial small subunit ribosomal RNA
Source: RNAcentral